This 253-nucleotide ribosomal RNA is filed under the name uncultured bacterium. Its description in RNAcentral is "partial 16S ribosomal RNA". It matches the Rfam family "Bacterial small subunit ribosomal RNA", at positions 524 to 776 of the family's 1533-position model. The record is from RNAcentral.
UACAGAGGGGGCAAGCGUUAUUCGGAAUUAUUGGGCGUAAAGGGCGCGUAGGCGGCCUGGCAAGUGGAAGGUGAAAUCCCUCGGCUUAACCGAGGAACUGCCCUCCAAACUGCUUGGCUUGAGUCCGGGAGAGGUGAGUGGAAUUCCCAGUGUAGCGGUGAAAUGCGUAGAUAUUGGGAGGAACACCAGUGGCGAAGGCAGGUCUCUGGGCCACUACUGACGCUGAGAAGCGAAAGCAUGGGGAGCGAACAGG